GCCUCCAUAGCUCAGUGGCAGAGCGGCUGCCUUGUAAGCAGUAGGUCGGGGGUUCAAAUCCCUCUGGAGGCU
Molecule: transfer RNA, 72 nt
Filed under: uncultured archaeon
Lineage: Archaea
Description: tRNA-Thr(tgt)
Rfam family: tRNA
About the family: Transfer RNA (tRNA) molecules are approximately 80 nucleotides in length. Their secondary structure includes four short double-helical elements and three loops (D, anti-codon, and T loops).
Source: RNAcentral